CGAAAAGGUAGGUAACUGUUUCUUCAAGGGCUUGCUCAUGUUUAUUCCAUUCUAGGUGACUCACAAGCAGUAUCCUGGGAAGUAGGCUUGGAGUUCACGGUCUUGCGGCUUGCAGAACUGCUCUACUGAAGCCAGCAUCAUUCUAGGCCUGCUGAGUAAGCGCAUAAUGGGACGUGAACGUGUGGACAGAUGACCACCCUACAGCUGUCCUGGAUAGGCACUUGGGCUAGGAAAGCUGCCAAAGAGGCCUGCGUCCUGACUGAAUGGACUAUUAUGAUCAGUGGAGGGGAAACUUUUGUCUGAUUGUAGCAGCAGCGAAUGCUGGCAGAGAUCCAAGAAGAAAUUCUUGAACAGACACUGGAUGACCUUUUAUCCUACCAGCCAUUGCGAUGAACAAUUGCACUGACUUGCGGAAUGGCUUGGCCCUUUCAAUGUAGAAGGCCAGUGCCCUCCUGACCUCUAGAGAAUGCAACCUAUACUCCUCUUCUGACUCAUGCGGCUUUGGAAAAAAGACAGGACUGAAUCACUUCAGAAUGUUAUCUUACUGUAAAGCACACUCUCCUUUUGCACUUCUGUCAUCAACAAGCCAAGUAAGGCAGCCAAGUUAAGCUGUGAAUCAGAACUUGCUCUCAUCACUGAGAGCACCAUCUCAAAAAUCCAUAGCUAGUGAAAAAUAUUAAUUAUAAAUCCAGCAGAAGCAAAGGACAAAACACCUACCCCCCAUUCCUCAGCAGCUUCAGGGGUGGCAAAGCUUUGUCUGGGCCAGCAGAAGAAAAAAGAAAACUCUUGGCCUCUUUAAGGAUUGCCCUCCUUUCCCUGUUUCCUCCCAUCCUUCUGGAAACUCAGACUUCUUGUGGACUUGAGGAAUGAGGGUUGUGGCAGACUUGCUAGAUAUGAGAGUAACCAGCAUAAGCCUGUUCUCCAAUGCACCCAAGAGAAGGUCUGAUAAACCCUUCACCCUGUCCGGGGGACUAUUCUGCACUGGGAAGAAAUUCUAAUCCAAAUUGGAGAUGUGAGGGACAAACCAGGUUUUGGGGACUUAUGGGCAUUACCACCUUUUUGGUGCGAGGACAUAAUUUUGUCCCCUCUCACUGCCAGACUGGCCUGGAGAGAGGUUUGUGGGGUAUGUGUUUUUUUGUUUUUGUUCUCAGCAACCCAGGCAUGGUGGGGUACGUUAGAUUAAAUUCAUUUUGUUGCAACAUGGCAGCUACCCAAUGCAGGUAAUUAUUAAAUGCAGAGUCCGGUUCCCUGAUAAAUCAGAAUCAAAGCAGAUUAGGAAAAAGCAACUGCUAAAGGAGAGAAAUGGGUACAACACUGUCUGGUACAGCAAGGAGACAACCCCCAACCAUAACCCCAUGGUUGCAGCCUUCCACCAUGUGGAAUAGAUUACAAAGGAUGAUCUGCACCAGACAAGUUAGUGCUGAGUAGUUCUCAGAUGUGUUACUAAAUAAAACUGUGGCCUAGCUAAACCAUAUUCACAUUGUCUUGUUUUUCUUUCCGUGGCGUCCAGGACCAGGGAAAACUCUGAUAGUUAUAAAAGUAAGGAAUAAGAACCAGUAACCCAGCAUUUAUUAUGCUUGAGCAAACUAAAUGACUAAGGUUAUCCUUACCAACUUCCAGUUGCAAGCUACAACAACUUCAUGUGUAGGAUAUUAGGAGACACACACCCACACUCAAGUAAACUUAAAAAUGAUUGUCUCAAAGUUUCAAGAACCAUCAAAGUUUCUGCAUCCUACCUUCCUCCCCCACACCCGCUCUCUGGCAGAUACCAAAAUGUAUGUGAGAAAAGAAAAAACCCUUUAGCUUUCUUAACUAGCAGCUGCCUCCUGAACAAUCUAUUCAAUGAUGCCAGUGCCCUUUAAGACAUCAAAAUGGAUUUAAUGAUCAUUACUUUUAUAAAAUGGGCCCAACACAAUGGCUACGGGCACAUGCACAAUAGUACAAAAUUAGCUGACUAUCAAACUUAAAUGAAACCUAGAGUGACACUCUCACUUCCCCGAGAUGCCAUAUAAACAGAACUGUAACCCAGAAUGAACUCAGACAAAAGCUGGAGUAAAACAGAUGGUUUUAUACUGUGACUGAAAGUCAAUAAACUUUGGUUUGGUUAUACUAGUGGAAGAACCAAAUUCCAGAGUCAAAGCCCUUCCAUUGAAAAUGCUCUGCAUGCAGACUCUGGAUGUUCAAUUUCAGGAACCAAGAUAACUCAGCCACUAAUCAGUUAUGAGGGUUCCAAGGGAAGUGGUGAAGUUUCUCAUACAGCUAGAACAAAGACUCGGUUUUAAAUAUUAACAUAAAUCCCCUGCAUAGCAUGUGAAACAAAUAAGAAGUCAGUACAGCUUUUGACAUGCUGGUGUAAAAGGCUCCUUGGAAGCAGCUGCAUCCAAUAAUAAGGUGACAGAGGCAUGAACAACCUUGGCAAAGUCCACAUCAAAGAAAAAGUUGCAAUUAUUGCAUCAACUGUAUAAAAAAAGACAGUACUUCUGCUCACCAAGGCUCAUGCCAUGAUCUAUCAGAUUCAAAAAAACUUCCUAAAUUAUUAAUCUGUGAGUAAAUCCCCUCAGUCAGAUAGGUAAGCAUCAUCCCUGCCAUUCUCUUUAGAUGCUUUCUCCAGACAAAAAGCUUCACCUCUGUCUUACUUGUUUCAGUGAGCUCAUUCUCAACCAAACCCUAUUUCAAGUAGGCACUGAGUAAGCAAAAGCACCAUAACAUCCAGAUUUGAGAGAGAAAAAGACUGAGCCAUAUCAAGGUAAACCACCUCCCUUCACAAUGGGUUUAAGAUAGCUCAGUUACAAGUCCCACAGAUUUUAAGGUCAGAAGUGACCUUAAUGAUCAUCUAGUCUGACCUUCAAAGUCACAUCCAACUUGUAAUUAAACAGUGUAAUAGUCUAUAUUUUUGUCAACAUAGGAAUUAGUGACAGCACAGGGUUACUCUCCAUAGGAAAUUAAAAAAAAAAAAAGAGACAUGUCUUUGUAGUUGUUUCUUUGGAAGUACAUUGACAGAGAGGAUUUUGAACAAAGACAAGACAAAAUGUAUUUUGGUCUACAGAGAAGUUUUGAUUCAAUUCUUUAAAGGAAACAGAUUUGCCUGUACAAAAUGCAGCUAGUCACAUUAGAUACAGAUAGCUUUAGUCACUACAAUAGCAACAGGUUAAGAACACACACAGAGAAAGGCCUGCUGUAUAAGCACUGAAAUUUCUCUUUUAAUAGAUAUAUUAUUUGCAAAUGGAGCCAAUAAGAACAUUUUCAACACAAAAAUAAUGCCUACUGUAUAAAGAUAAUACAAGCAGAAAGAUGUUAAAAAUACAGAGAAGACUGAAUAUAAGAUAGUGGGUGGACCAACAUGAAGAGAUUGAAUAUAAACAUAUGCAAACUGAUGUGUGUAGAACUGAUUGUGUAUUUAAAAAUUAAGAGAGAAAAAUGAAACUCCAAAUCUACUGCAGACAGAUUUGGGGUCAGUGGACAAACUGAGCAGGAGAUCAUGUGAGUUGCCAAGGCACUCAUUUGUUUUCUGGGAUGAGGUGGUGCAAGUAUACAGAAGGUUCUCUUAUAUGUAGAGCUCUACAAAAUUCACAGCCAUGAAAGAUGUGUCAUGGAUCAUGAAAUGUGGUCUUGUGUGUGCUUUUACUCUAUACUAUUAUAGAUUUCACAAGGGAUACCAGCACUUCUCAUACUGAGGGCCCUGAUGCAAAAGGGAGUUGCAGGGGGUUUACAAGAUUAUUUUAGGGCUGUCAUAGUAUUGCCACUCUGACUUCUGCUCUGCUGCCU
Chelonoidis abingdonii (Abingdon island giant tortoise) is the source of this 3765-nucleotide long non-coding RNA. RefSeq lists it as uncharacterized. The record is from RefSeq and is a predicted model, not a curated record. NCBI's taxonomy places the organism in Eukaryota, Metazoa, Chordata, Testudines, Testudinidae.